Molecule: long non-coding RNA, 970 nt
Organism: Perognathus longimembris pacificus (Pacific pocket mouse)
Lineage: Eukaryota; Metazoa; Chordata; Mammalia; Rodentia; Heteromyidae
Exons: 2
Source: RefSeq, a predicted model, not a curated record
UGGGUUGCUCAAUCAUGGUUUGGAACCUCCAGAACAAACAAAUCUUUUCUCUUUAUAAAUUAAUUUACCUCUAGUAUUUCACUGUAGUGAUGGAAAGCUAAUAAAGCCAAGAAUGAGGAAUUGUGUGCUACAAAAUACCACAUAAGUAACCUGACCACAGUCAAUUCUCUGGGCUUCCCAAACAUCCUUUCAGAAAAUCUAUUUUGCAUGCCUAAAUGGAUUUAGAAUCAUGAACAGAGCAGACAAAAAAGGUGGAAAAAUAAAAGAAAAAAGCAACCAAGGAAUUCAUCUGUGCCAUGACCUCCUAGUUCUUUGCUAUUAUGAAACAGUCUAUGAGUCCAACAAACUUUAGGCUCUGGCACCAAUCAGCUCCGUGGCCUCGGUGAGUCUUUUAACCAUUCCAGGCCUCAGUUUCAUCUUCUGCUUUCCCUGCCUAUUUGUAUAUUGUGAAGAUCAGAGAAAUCAUAAGAAUGCCUGAAAUCAGAAGAAAUCUGAAAAUGCUACAGAAGCUAAGGGCAUUAUCACAAUCCUAUCUUCCAAAUUGAAAAAGUAAAUCUUUUUACUUUCCAGUCUUCUCUAUGGAGUUCAACAUCUUCCAAAAGACAUAAUCUUCUUCACAGCUACCAGACAUUUGUCACAAACCUGUCAGGAAGCCAAGCAAAGAGGCUAGCAAACUUUUGCAUAUGCUGUUUUUAAUCUGUGAAGCAAACUAAUAUACCAGGGCUCUACCAUAGUCAAAUUAAUACACUGACUCCACCACAGUCACAGUCCUUCUUUUAAAGAGGAAAUGGCAUUGGCUUGUGUAGUGUGGCUUUGUAGCUGUUAAAGGAGACUCGGAUUUGCUGUUGAGCAACAACAUCUUGGUGUGUUCAGGGGUCAUAAGCCACUGGGAGCCCCAAGGCUCAAUGCUUGCUACUUGGAUUUGGUCUUGGAUUUAGGAUAGGAUUUCGAUUCACCCCCCUUGUGUCCU